This 156-nucleotide ribosomal RNA is filed under the name Meliosma dentata. RNAcentral describes it as "5.8S ribosomal RNA". It matches the Rfam family "5.8S ribosomal RNA". From Rfam's summary of the family: 5.8S ribosomal RNA (5.8S rRNA) is a component of the large subunit of the eukaryotic ribosome. It is transcribed by RNA polymerase I as part of the 45S precursor that also contains 18S and 28S rRNA. Functionally, it is thought that 5.8S rRNA may be involved in ribosome translocation. The record is from RNAcentral. Lineage: Eukaryota; Viridiplantae; Streptophyta; Magnoliopsida; Proteales; Sabiaceae.
GACUCUCGGCAACGGAUAUCUUGGCUCUUGCAUCGAUGAAGAACGUAGCGAAAUGCGAUACUUGGUGUGAAUUGCAGAAUCCCGUGAACCAUUGAGUCUUUGAACGCAAGUUGCGCCCUAGGCCCUACGGUUGAGGGCACGCCUGCCUGGGCGUCA